This 299-nucleotide signal recognition particle RNA is filed under the name Cebus imitator (Panamanian white-faced capuchin). RNAcentral describes it as "Metazoan signal recognition particle RNA (ENSCCAG00000010770.1)". It matches the Rfam family "Metazoan signal recognition particle RNA". Rfam says of the family: The signal recognition particle (SRP) is a universally conserved ribonucleoprotein. It is involved in the co-translational targeting of proteins to membranes. Lineage: Eukaryota; Metazoa; Chordata; Mammalia; Primates; Cebidae. The record is from RNAcentral.
GCCAGGCACAGUGGUGUAUGCCUGUAGUCCCAGCUACAUGGAAGGCUGAGGCUGGAGGAUCACUUGAGCCCAGGAGUUCUGGGCUGUAGUGCGCUAUGCCAAUCGGGUGUCCACACUAAGUUCGGCAUCAAUAUGGUGACCUCCUGGGAGUGGGGGACCAUCAGGUUGCCUAAGGAGGGGUGAACUGGCCCAGGUCGGAAAUGGAGCAGGUCAAAACUCCCGUGCUGAUCAGUAGUGGGAUCAUGCCUGCGAAUAGCCACUGCACUCCAGCCUGGGCAACAUAGCGAGACCCCGUCUCU